GCUCUAUAACCCUUUGUGAACAUACCUAUAACUGUUGCUUCGGCGGGUAGGGUCUCCGCGACCCUCCCGGCCUCCCGCCUCCGGGCGGGUCGGCGCCCGCCGGAGGAUAACCAAACUCUGAUUUAACGACGUUUCUUCUGAGUGGUACAAGCAAAUAAUCAAAACUUUUAACAACGGAUCUCUUGGUUCUGGCAUCGAUGAAGAACGCAGCGAAAUGCGAUAAGUAAUGUGAAUUGCAGAAUUCAGUGAAUCAUCGAAUCUUUGAACGCACAUUGCGCCCGCCAGCAUUCUGGCGGGCAUGCCUGUUCGAGCGUCAUUUCAACCCUCAAGCUCUGCUUGGUGUUGGGGCCCUACAGCUGAUGUAGGCCCUCAAAGGUAGUGGCGGACCCUCCCGGAGCCUCCUUUGCGUAGUAACUUUACGUCUCGCACUGGGAUCCGGAGGGACUCUUGCCGUAAAACCCCCCAAUUUUCCAAAGGUUGACCUCGGAUCAGGUAGGAAUACCCGCUGAACUUAAGCAUAUCAAUAAGCGGAGGAAAAGAAACCAACAGGGAUUGCCUCAGUAACGGCGAGUGAAGCGGCAACAGCUCAAAUUUGAAAUCUGGCCCUAGGCCCGAGUUGUAAUUUGCAGAGGAUGCUUUUGGUGCGGUGCCUUCCAAGUUCCCUAGAACGGGACGCCAGAGAGGGUGAGAGCCCCGUACAGUUGGACACCAAGCCUUUGUAAAGCUCCUUCGACGAGUCGAGUAGUUUGGGAAUGCUGCUCAAAAUGGGAGGUAUAUUUCUUCUAAAGCUAAAUACCGGCCAGAGACCGAUAGCGCACAAGUAGAGUGGAUCGAAAGAUGAAAAGCACUUUGAAAAGAGGGUUAAACAGCACGUGAAAUUGUUAAAAGGGAAGCGCUUGUGACCAGACUUGCGUCCGGUGAAUCACCCAGCUCUCGCGGCUGGGGCACUUCGCCGGCUCAGGCCAGCAUCAGCUCGCUGUCGGGGACAAAAGCUUCAGGAACGUAGCUCUCUUCGGGGAGUGUUAUAGCCUGUUGCACAAUACCCUUCGGCGGGCUGAGGUACGCGUCC
Molecule: ribosomal RNA, 1069 nt
Filed under: fungal endophyte
Lineage: Eukaryota; Fungi
Description: eukaryotic LSU rRNA
Rfam family: Eukaryotic large subunit ribosomal RNA (bases 479-1069)
Source: RNAcentral